CACGGGUGAGUAACACGUAGGUAAUCUACCUUUGGAUGGGGAAUAACAACCGGAAACUGGGGGCUAAUACCGCAUAAUGCAGCGGCACCUAAUGGUGACAGUUGUUAAGCGGGGAUCGAAAGACCUCGCGUCUGAAGAGGAGCCUGCGGCGGAUUAGCUAGUUGGUGGGGUAAUGGCUCACCAAGGCGAUGAUCCGUAGCCGGCCUGAGAGGGCGGUCGGCCACACUGACACUGACAUACGGGUCAGACUCCUACGGGAGGCAGCCAGUCGGGAAUUGUUCGCAAUGGGCGCAAGCCUGACGACGCAACGCCGCGUGGAGGAUGACAGAUCUUCGUGUCGUAAACUCCUUUCGAUCGAGACGAAUGGCCUCCGGGUGAACAAUCCGGAGGCAUGACGGUACCCGGAGAGAAGAAGCCCCGGUAAUUCCGUGCCAGCAGCCGCGGUAAUACGGGGGGGCAAGCGUUGUCGGAAUUACUUGGGGCGUAACAGGGCUCGUAGGCGGGCCAAACUAAGUCACAGACGGUGAAAUCCCUCGGGUUAAACCGGGGAACUUGCGUCUGAUACUGGAUGGGUUUGA
RNAcentral lists this ribosomal RNA (578 nucleotides) under uncultured bacterium. Its description in RNAcentral is "bacterial SSU rRNA". It matches the Rfam family "Bacterial small subunit ribosomal RNA", at positions 100 to 645 of the family's 1533-position model. The record is from RNAcentral.